AGCAGUAGCCGCGGGAACACGGAGGGUGCAAGCGUUGUCCGGAUUUAUUGGGUUUAAAGGGUGCGUAGGCGGCUAUUUAAGUCAGCGGUGAAAGACUCCGGCUCAACCGGAGCAGUGCCAUUGAUACUGGAUAGCUUGAGUGUUGGAGGGGUACAUGGAAUUGAUGGUGUAGCGGUGAAAUGCAUAGAUACCAUCAGGAACACCGAUAGCGAAGGCAUUGUACUGGCCAACAACUGACGCUGAGGCACGAAAGCAUGGGGAGCGAACAGGAUUAGAUACCCCUGUAGUCCCUGUCUCUUAUAA
RNAcentral lists this ribosomal RNA (303 nucleotides) under uncultured bacterium. RNAcentral describes it as "partial 16S ribosomal RNA". It matches the Rfam family "Bacterial small subunit ribosomal RNA", at positions 507 to 809 of the family's 1533-position model. The record is from RNAcentral.